Molecule: ribosomal RNA, 254 nt
Filed under: uncultured bacterium
Lineage: Bacteria
Description: partial 16S ribosomal RNA
Rfam family: Bacterial small subunit ribosomal RNA
Source: RNAcentral
UACGUAGGCAGCGAGCGUUGUUCGGAGUUACUGGGCGUAAAGGGUGUGUAGGCGGUUGUUUAAGUUUGGUGGGAAAUCUCCCGGCUCAACUGGGAGGGUGCGCCGAAUACUGAAUGACUUCGAGUGCGGGAGAGGAGAGUGGAAUUCCUGGUGUAGCGGUGAAAUGCGUAGAUAUCAGGAGGAACACCGGUGGUGUAGACGGCUCUCUGGACCGUAACUGACGCUGAGACACGAAAGCGUGGGUAGCAAACAGG